UCUACCACAGACAGAUUUUUUUCACAAGUGUCCCUUAAUAAUAGGCAUGCCCCAGCAUGCUAUUAAUAUGUGCUUAUUUGAUGAAUUUUAUCUUCUGUGAAAAUGCAGUUUCUUCACACUGAACACAGUGUGCAUUUCAGGCUUACGGCUUUCCUCUUCUUUUGUCAUGGAACGAUUUGAUUUGAACCCUGAUGAGUUUCAUGUUAUUAGUGGAAUGAGAUCUACUUCGUCGUUGUCACCGUACAUGGCAGAGAUUAAGACUGUUGUCUAGGAAUGGCAGGUAGCAGAAUAAGGAAGUGACUGACAGUGCCUGACUUCCUACUAUGAAAAAGUGUUCUGGUAUCAUUGGAUUGGAGAAACUGACCCACUGGAACAUAAAACAUACUUGGUUCAAAUGGCUUCAUCCAGAUUUGAGAAGUCAUUCGAGAGUGUUUGAAACCAAGGGCCGCAGUUGUGGCGCCCAGGCCACAGGUGGAAACGGAGCUGCAGCUGCCAGCCUACACUACAGCCAUAGCAAUGCCAGAUCCAAGCCAUGUCUGCG
Molecule: long non-coding RNA, 541 nt
Organism: Phacochoerus africanus (Common warthog)
Lineage: Eukaryota; Metazoa; Chordata; Mammalia; Artiodactyla; Suidae
Exons: 5
Source: RefSeq, a predicted model, not a curated record